GAUGAACGCUGGCGGCGUGCCUAAUACAUGCCAGUCGAGCGAACAGACGAGGAGCUUGCUCCUCUGACGUUAGCGGCGGACGGGUGAGUAACACGUGGAUAACCUACCUAUAAGACUGGGAUAACUUCGGGAAACCGGAGCUAAUACCGGAUAAUAUAUUGAACCGCAUGGUUCAAUAGUGAAAGACGGUCUUGCUGUCACUUAUAGAUGGAUCCGCGCCGCAUUAGCUAGUUGGUAAGGUAACGGCUUACCAAGGCGACGAUGCGUAGCCGACCUGAGAGGGUGAUCGGCCACACUGGAACUGAGACACGGUCCAGACUCCUACGGGAGGCAGCAGUAGGGAAUCUUCCGCAAUGGGCGAAAGCCUGACGGAGCAACGCCGCGUGAGUGAAGAAGGUCUUCGGAUCGUAAAACUCUGUUAUUAGGGAAGAACAAAUGUGUAAGUAACUAUGCACGUCUUGACGGUACCUAAUCAGAAAGCCACGGCUAACUACGUG
This 497-nucleotide ribosomal RNA is filed under the name uncultured bacterium. RNAcentral describes it as "partial 16S ribosomal RNA". It matches the Rfam family "Bacterial small subunit ribosomal RNA", at positions 28 to 507 of the family's 1533-position model. The record is from RNAcentral.